UCUCUCUCUCUCUCUCUGUUUUGGAUCUAUCAAGGUGCUGUUCUACGAAAAUGUCGCAUGGAGAUCGAUUGGCGACAAGAUCGAGUCCCGGUUUUGUGGCGUGGCUACUGAGUUCGAUGACGAAGUGCCUUAGCUCCUUCUCUCAAAUCUCUCUUAUAGUGGAUUUGAUUUCGUCGUCGCUCCUCUGGCAUGUCUUCUUCCAGCAUCUAAGGGAACAUCAUAUGCUAUUUAUGCUAGACGUGUUCGGGCCUUAAUAAUAUGCAGUUGUGGCUCAGGAUACCUCUAGUGAAAGUUGAUGAUGAUUCUACAAAUGUGAAGUCUGAUCACUUGGUGAGUUGAUUCUUGGGAUUUGUGGAACACAUUUCGUCUGGCUUUGCGAGCACCACUAUCAGUUAUCAAUUGUACUUGACAUUUUGAGUACGUUGCCUUCACCAAAUGCGCGCUUGGACGAUGGAUUGAGGAGUCUGUCAAAGCGGCCAUAUUUAGUACCCCCAUGUAAUUAUAUUGGUCAUUUUCUCAAGAUCAAACAGAUAUCUGAAGUUGAUUACUGGAUUUUGAUAAGGCACUUCUUGGACUGUCGUCGAAGCGGCACAUGAAGUUGAUUACCGGAUUUUUCAACCAUCAUUCCAUUCAGGUAGUUUUAUCUGGGAAACCAUUUCCCAACGUUUCAAGGGGAUGUUGUGCAGAUUCGCUUACUGACUGGCCUGUAAAGAGCAGAAAAGAAUCUUUAAGAGUAGAUUUCUCAUGAAUAUAAUUUCAUAUUGAAUCUUUAGGAG
RNA transcript from Cucurbita moschata (crookneck pumpkin), 776 nucleotides. RefSeq lists it as uncharacterized. The record is from RefSeq and is a predicted model, not a curated record. Lineage: Eukaryota; Viridiplantae; Streptophyta; Magnoliopsida; Cucurbitales; Cucurbitaceae. The transcript is spliced from 6 exons.